AUUGAACGCUGGCGGCAUGCCUUACACAUGCAAGUCGAACGGCAGCGGGGGAGAAGCUUGCUUUUCCUGCCGGCGAGUGGCGAACGGGUGAGUAAUACAUCGGAACGUGCCCUGUAGUGGGGGAUAACUAGUCGAAAGAUUAGCUAAUACCGCAUACGACCUGAGGGUGAAAGGGGGGGACCGCAAGGCCUCAUGCUAUAGGAGCGGCCGAUGUCUGAUUAGCUAGUUGGUGGGGUAAAGGCCUCCCAAGGCGACGAUCAGUAGCUGGUCUGAGAGGACGAUCAGCCACACUGGGACUGAGACACGGACCAAAAUCCUACGGGAGGCAGCAGUGGGGAAUUUUGGACAAUGGGCGAAAGCCUGAUCCAGCAAUGCCGCGUGUGUGAAGAAGGCCUUCGGGUUGUAAAGCACUUUUGUCCGGAAAGAAAUGGCUCUGGUUAAUACCUGGGGUCGAUGACGGUACCGGAAGAAUAAGGACCGGCUAACUACGUGCCAGCCGCCGCGGUAA
This 508-nucleotide ribosomal RNA is filed under the name uncultured bacterium. Its description in RNAcentral is "partial 16S ribosomal RNA". It matches the Rfam family "Bacterial small subunit ribosomal RNA", at positions 30 to 523 of the family's 1533-position model. The record is from RNAcentral.